GGCAGUUCUUGGGUGAUGCACCCUGGAAUCAGGCUCCCUCCUCUCUGUUUCUGGAAUGUGUCACCCAAGAACUGCC
Molecule: non-coding RNA, 76 nt
Organism: Myotis davidii
Lineage: Eukaryota; Metazoa; Chordata; Mammalia; Chiroptera; Vespertilionidae
Source: Rfam